CAGCCGCCGCGGUAAUACGAAGGGGGCUAGCGUUGUUCGGAUUUACUGGGCGUAAAGCGCACGUAGGCGGAUCGAUCAGUCAGGGGUGAAAUCCUGGAGCUCAACUCCAGAACUGCCUUUGAUACUGUCGAUCUCGAGUCCGGAAGAGGUGAGUGGAACUCCUAGUGUAGAGGUGGAAUUCGUAGAUAUUAGGAAGAACACCAGUGGCGAAGGCGGCUCACUGGUCCGGUACUGACGCUGAGGUGCGAAAGCGUGGGGAGCAAACAGGAUUAGAUACCCCUGUAGUCCCUGUCUCUUAUAC
This 301-nucleotide ribosomal RNA is filed under the name uncultured bacterium. Its description in RNAcentral is "partial 16S ribosomal RNA". It matches the Rfam family "Bacterial small subunit ribosomal RNA", at positions 509 to 807 of the family's 1533-position model. The record is from RNAcentral.